Molecule: ribosomal RNA, 508 nt
Filed under: uncultured bacterium
Lineage: Bacteria
Description: partial 16S ribosomal RNA
Rfam family: Bacterial small subunit ribosomal RNA
Source: RNAcentral
AUUGAACGCUGGCGGCAUGCCUUACACAUGCAAGUCGAACGGCAGCGGGGGAGAAGCUUGCUUUUCCUGCCGGCGAGUGGCGAACGGGUGAGUAAUACAUCGGAACGUGCCCUGUAGUGGGGGAUAACUAGUCGAAAGAUUAGCUAAUACCGCAUACGACCUGAGGGUGAAAGUGGGGGACCGCAAGGCCUCAUGCUAUAGGAGCGGCCGAUGUCUGAUUAGCUAGUUGGUGGGGUAAGGGCCUACCAAGGCGACGAUCAGUGGGUGGUCUGAGAGGACGAUCAGCCACACUGGGACUGAGACACGGCCCAGACUCCUACGGGAGGCAGCAGUGGGGAAUUUUGGACAAUGGGCGAAAGCCUGAUCCAGCAAUGCCGCGUGUGUGAAGAAGGCCUUCGGGUUGUAAAGCACUUUUGUCUGGAAAGAAAUGGCUCUGGUUAAUACCUGGGGUCGAUGACGGUACCGGAAGAAUAAGGACCGGCUAACUACGUGCCAGCCGCCGCCGUAA